This 343-nucleotide RNase P RNA is filed under the name Flavobacterium sp. Root935. Its description in RNAcentral is "bacterial RNase P". It matches the Rfam family "Bacterial RNase P class A". From Rfam's summary of the family: Ribonuclease P (RNase P) is a ubiquitous endoribonuclease, found in archaea, bacteria and eukarya as well as chloroplasts and mitochondria. Its best characterised activity is the generation of mature 5'-ends of tRNAs by cleaving the 5'-leader elements of precursor-tRNAs. The record is from RNAcentral. Lineage: Bacteria; Pseudomonadati; Bacteroidota; Flavobacteriia; Flavobacteriales; Flavobacteriaceae.
CGCGCAGACCGCCUUAUCGUCGUUCCAAUUUAUUGGGAGGGAGGAAAGUCCGGACACCACAGAGAAGCAUAGCGGGUAACACCCGUCGGUCUCGUCCCGAAGUCUCGGGAUCGGGAUUAGGACAAGUGCAGCAGAAAGUAUGUACAGGUAAUGCUGUAGUGAAAACAGGUAAACUCUAUGCGGUGAAAUACCAAGUAUAUCAGCAUUUAAGGGCUUCUCGUCCGUUGCUGAAGGGUAGGUAGCUUGAGUCAUGCAGUAAUGCAUGAUCUAGAUAAAUGAUAAGGUAUUGUCUCGUUGUAAAAUGAGACAAGAACAGAAUCCGGCUUAUAGGUCUGCAUUUUUU